AAGUUGUUGAUCCAUUGGUCAAUACAAUUAGCACCUCAAUUUCAAGAUUAGCUGAAGAUCACUCAAAUCCAAAAUGCCCAUCAUCUCUCCAUAUCUUUGCACAGGUAAAUAGAAUACCAAUUGUAUUUGAUUUCCCUCCACGGAUCUCCAAAUUCCCUCCCAUCGAAUCCCAAAAAGUUGCAGUGAUUUCUUUCUUUCAUCGUUUAAAGAAUUGAUCUUGUUUGUUUCUUGGGCUCACAGCCUUCUGCGAAAAUAUGUCACAUAUCCUCAAGUAACCUUCGAUAACGUUUCUAGAAGAUUUAUGAAUCUUCUAUCGUCAUAUCACCAAGGCCUCGCCCUCUUCAUGGACCUUCACCCUUACGAUGCCUGAGCUCCGUAGCCGAGAACGCAGAAACCGCCCAUCCAACAACCCUGACCCGAGCCCGAUUACCCAUCAACCAGGACUCCACAACCAUAAGAACCUUCCUCCAGCUCUACGUACUCGCCAGAGAAGGGAAACCGGACGGAAUCGGAGGAAUAAUAAGAACGCGAUCGGCGCUGGUGAGCGGAAUAUUGUGAAGAGCGAAGACGAAGAAAGAGGAGGAGAGGAAGAGAUUAGGGUUUCCAGAGAGGGAACCGGGGAAAGAGCCAUGGAUGAGUACGAUAGCGGCGGCGAUAAGGGGCCCGGAGCCGAGGAUGAGGGCAGCGCUGCGCCUCUUCCUGAAAAGGUUCAAGUUGGUGGUUCCCCGAUGUACAGAGUAGACAGAAAACUGGGGAAAGGGGGCUUUGGACAAGUUUACGUAGGUCGACGCAUUGGGCCUCCUAGUGCAAACGAGAGAACUGUCCCUAGAGCUGUGGAGGUAGCUUUAAAAUUUGAGCACAGGAGUAGUAAAGGAUGCAAUUAUGGACCACCAUAUGAGUGGCAAGUUUACAAUGCACUUGGUGGCAGUCAUGGUGUUCCACGAGUUCAUUAUAAGGGCCGGCAUGGUGACUACUAUAUCAUGGUCAUGGAUAUGCUUGGGCCAAGUUUGUGGGAUGUUUGGAAUAACAAGUCACACACGAUGUCUAUUGACAUGGUUGCAUGUAUUGCCAUUGAGGCUAUAUCCAUAUUAGAGAAGAUACACUCUAGGGGAUAUGUGCACGGGGAUGUGAAACCUGAGAAUUUCUUGCUUGGUACUCCUGGGACUCCUGAAGAAAAAAAGCUAUAUCUUGUGGACCUUGGAUUAGCCACCCGGUGGCGAGACAGUACAACUGGCUUUCAUGUUGAGUAUGAUCAACGUCCAGAUGUCUUCAGGGGAACUGUCCGGUAUGCCAGCGUGCAUGCUCAUCUUGGUAGAACUGGCAGCAGGAGAGAUGACUUGGAAUCUCUUGCCUACACUCUUGUUUUUCUUCUCCGUGGUCGCUUACCAUGGCAAGGAUAUCAGGGAGAAAAUAAAGGAUUCCUUGUAUGCAAGAAGAAAAUGGCCACUUCCCCAGAAGCUCUCUGUUGCUUUUGCCCUCAUCCUUUUCGACAGUUUGUUGAGCAUAUAGUAAAUCUGAAGUUUGAUGAAGAACCUAACUAUGCAAAGUAUAUCUCCCUCUUUGACGGGAUUGUUGGCCCAAAUCCAGAUAUCAGGCCAAUAAACACUGAUGGUGCUCAGAAGCUUAUAUGUCAGGUUGGACAUAAGAGAGGACGAUUGACCAUGGAGGAGGAGGAGGAUGAACAACCUAAAAAGAAGAUUCGAAUGGGGAUGCCUGCAACCCAAUGGAUUAGUGUCUACAAUGCUCGUCGGCCUAUGAAGCAAAGAUAUCACUAUAACGUGGCAGAUGUAAGGCUCUCCCAGCACAUUGAGAAAGGAAAUGAAGAUGGAUUAUUUAUUAGUGGCGUGGCUUCAUGUACAAACCUCUGGGCCUUAAUCAUGGAUGCUGGCACUGGCUUUACAGCACAAGUUCAUGAACUCUCACCCUACUUUCUUCACAAGGAAUGGAUUAUGGAACACUGGGAGAAGAAUUACUACAUCAGUGCAAUAGCAGGGGCAAACAAUGGGAGUUCAUUAGUUGUAAUGUCUAAGGGGACACAGUACUUACAGCAGUCUUAUAAAGUCAGCGAAUCAUUUCCAUUCAAGUGGAUCAACAAAAAAUGGAGGGAGGGGUUUUACGUUACUGCCAUGGGCACUGCUGGGAGUAGAUGGGCAAUUGUUAUGUCUCGCGGGGCAGGAUUUUCUGACCAGGUUGUGGAACUAGAUUUUCUCUAUCCUAGUGAAGGUGUUCAUCGAAGGUGGGACAGUGGUUACCGCAUUACAUCAACUGCAGCGACUUGGGACCAGGCUGCUUUAGUUCUAAGUGUUCCUAGAAGAAAACCGGCUGAUGAAACUCAAGAGACUCUCCGAACUUCUGCUUUUCCUAGUACACACGUCAAGGAGAAAUGGGCAAAGAAUCUUUAUAUUGCAUCUAUUUGCUAUGGUCGAACUGUUUCAUGAACUACCAAAGAUCGUUGGGAUGCUGCUUAUGUUACCCUGACCUCUCACUUCUAUGAUCAAAGAACCAGCUCGUAAUAUCUACUUCUCUCGCCUGGGAACCAAAGAUCCUGUCAAGGCAAAUGUACUGAUCGUGGCAUUUUGGAGAUGAUCAUCAACAAUUAGCCUGUAAUCUCGAGAUCAUGGAAGCAGAAACAUAGAAGGCAAAGCUCCUUGUAUCCAUGUAAGAAUACCUUUAAAAAAUGCUACCAAGAAAAACUCCCUUAUUCCAUUUGGUUCCCCAUGCGAUUCUUUUGGUCUAUGGCAAGCCUAUCUUUACCCUGGAAACUCGAUCAAUCUUCCUCUACCGAUGUAAAGCAAAAAUAUAAGUUAUUGAAACAACAUAUUUCGUUGUUCCCCAACAUCUUUCUUUUCUUUUAAUCUAGGUGUACUGUUCUACUGGACAGUAUGCUAAAAAUAAAAAUAAAAAAAUUGGGAAGGAUUAAGCCGAUUCUUUUAGCUUCUUAUUUUUUUUUUUGAAAGGGGGUAGGUUAGUUUCUAGGUUAUUGUGUAUUCCGAUUGUUCUUAAAUUGAAGGUGAAUUUUACUUAGGUACGCAGAAAACCGUUAGUUUAGUUUCCGUGUGAUAUCUUGCUUAUGGAAAUGUUGAAUGACCAUAGUUUUACUCUAGACUAUAAGAUUUAGCUCUUAAGUUGCUGAGAUUUACUGGGAGAUAUAUUUAUUUUCUAUAUUGGUUUUUAAACUAAUUUUGAUUUGUCAAGGCCACAUUCUCCACUAAAAUGAGUUAAGCUUCUGAAUUUCUUGUAUCACUAGAACAUCAUAUCACUAAAAUGAGUUGGGAUUUGCCUAUUUUUGUGAUCAAUAAAAUUUUAUUUACCAAUAAUAAUAAUAACAAUAAUAAUAAAAGCUUCUGAAUUUUAUCCAUUAAGAGUCUAGCAUAAAAUAAUAAUAAUAAAAGAUAGCUAAAUAUUUAAAGGGUAGUGAUAGACUUACUACUCUAUUACUACCCAUUUAUUACUUAUAAGUUAUUAGGAUUUUUUUUUAUUUUUUCAUCAUUUUCUUUUAAGUAUUUUUUUAACAUCCUUAGCCAAAAAAUUCAAAAAAAUAUAUAAUUUUACUAAUAAUCACUUUCUUAAUCAUUAAAAUAAAAAAUUAAAAAAAAAUUAAAUACAAAAUGAGUAGUAAAUAAGUAGUAAAAGAAUAGCAACCCUAUCAUUUUCCAUAUUUAAAAGCAAACGUACUGUCAUUUCUAAUAAUAAUAAUUUAAAAAAACUUCAAUUAUAGGGUGGCUAAUCACCCUCCAAAGAGGUGGUCGCCUGCCUUCAAUGGUGGCUAGAGUCUAGAGAUCUGUACCCCAAAUGUGGCGAAAAGAACCUCCUUUUAGAGCCAUUUAAAUGCCCCGCCCAGUGCAAUUUCAGGCGAGCAAAAGCUAGCGUUAUCAUUGUCAGCUUAAAUACCGUUAACAUUAUUAUUCAUCGCUUCUGUACUUGUGGCUCGAGGGAAAUGAAACUUUCCAUAUAAAGGGUACAUGCACACACUUUGUUAUUCCUGAUCUGUAGAAUAAAUAUGUAAUUUACAUGAAAAAACUAUUAGUAAAAAAAUGUGUUCUGCUAUGUAAAA
Molecule: RNA transcript, 4054 nt
Organism: Carya illinoinensis
Lineage: Eukaryota; Viridiplantae; Streptophyta; Magnoliopsida; Fagales; Juglandaceae
Gene name: casein kinase 1-like protein HD16
Exons: 19
Source: RefSeq, a predicted model, not a curated record